Non-coding RNA from Lampris incognitus (smalleye Pacific opah), 423 nucleotides. The record is from the annotation of a RefSeq genome assembly. Lineage: Eukaryota; Metazoa; Chordata; Actinopteri; Lampriformes; Lampridae.
UUGGCUGCUAUGUGCUUUGAAUGCAGAGCUCAAAAAGACAACGUGCUCCAAACCAAAGGAGGUGUGACUGUUAGUGAGGGAGAGACAGUAACACUGGACUGUCACUAUAACACCAGUGGCUCAAAUACAUAUCUUUACUGGUACAGACAGGCUGCAGACGACAAGCCCACAUUCAUUCUGAGCCGCUUUUCUGUUGGAUCAGGGAACACAGCGGACGGGUUCAAGGAGAGAUUUGAUUCCAGCCUGGAUUCCAGCUCAAGAUCAGUUCCUCUGAAGAUCCAGAGUCUGCAGCUGUCUGACUCUGCUGUGUACUACUGUGCUCUGAGGCCCACAGUGACAGGAAACUGCAAGACGUACUACAAAAACCUUUGGAGCGUAUAUCAAGAAUCCAGAGACAAAACAAUGUUAAACCACAUCCACUAG